CCUACGGGCGGCAGCAGUGGGGAAUAUUGCGCAAUGGGGGGAACCCUGACGCAGCCAUGCCGCGUGAAUGAAGAAGGCCUUCGGGUUGUAAAGUUCUUUCGGUAUUGAGGAAGGGAUGUGUGCUAAUAGUAGACAUCAUUGACGUUAAAUACAGAAGAAGCACCGGCUAACUCCGUGCCAGCAGCCGCGGUAAUACGGAGGGGGCGAGCGUUAAUCGGAAUAACUGGGCGUAAAGGGCACGCAGGCGGUUAUUUAAGUGAGGUGUGAAAGCCCCGGGCUUAACCUGGGAAUUGCAUUUCAGACUGGGUAACUAGAGUUCGUUAGGGAGGGGUAGAAGUCCACGUGUAGCGGUGAAAUGCGUAGAGAUGUGGAGGAAUACCGAAGGCGAAGGCAGCCCCUUGGGAAUGUACUGAAGCUCAUGUGCGAAAGCGUGGGGAGCGAACAGGAUUAGAUACCCGAGUAGUC
This 465-nucleotide ribosomal RNA is filed under the name uncultured Haemophilus sp. Its description in RNAcentral is "bacterial SSU rRNA". It matches the Rfam family "Bacterial small subunit ribosomal RNA", at positions 338 to 795 of the family's 1533-position model. Lineage: Bacteria; Pseudomonadati; Pseudomonadota; Gammaproteobacteria; Pasteurellales; Pasteurellaceae. The record is from RNAcentral.